CUACAGACCACCUGUCCUUCUCAGUUACUUCACGGGUGAUAUAUCGCUCGAUGAUCGGAUUUGGGGCCUGUGUUGCGUACCUAUCUAGAUGGUAUUGUUGGGUUUGGUUUCCACUGUUGUUUGCGGCAUCUCUUUCKUAGGGAAGUCGUGAACACACAAAUUGGCGCUUGUUUUCCUUUCGACUUGGCAUUGCCUUGUCCGAUUUGGUGAAUAAGUAGUCGGUUGAACUCUCGGAUAUGGAAAAGAUAUCGGCGGUGACUCGAAGUAAUUCAGUCCCGGCAACAGCACAUCUGUCCUUCGGGCAAAAGAUGACGGUCAAGACUUCGUCCCACUCUCAAUUUCCUUAGUGUUUGCGAGAAUGAGGCGAGGAAUUGCUGUGAUCGAUGAAUGCUACCUGGUUGAUCCUGCCAGUAGUCAUAUGCUUGUCUCAAAGAUUAAGCCAUGCAUGUGUAAGUAUGAACGAAUUCAGACUGUGAAA
RNAcentral lists this unclassified non-coding RNA (478 nucleotides) under Cardamine occulta. Its description in RNAcentral is "partial contains external transcribed spacer and 18S ribosomal RNA". The stretch from base 392 to 478 matches the Rfam family "Eukaryotic small subunit ribosomal RNA", at positions 1 to 86 of the family's 1831-position model. Lineage: Eukaryota; Viridiplantae; Streptophyta; Magnoliopsida; Brassicales; Brassicaceae. The record is from RNAcentral.